AGGCUGAUCCCAGAGGUCUCAUUUUCACACAACGGGGAAAUGAUUUACAAUUAUUUGAAGCUUUUGGAAAAAGUUCACUUUGCUGUAGGCAUGGAUUGUCCCGGAUGCGAAAUAAGGGUGACAGAAAUAAUUUAAAUUAAAAAGAUAUUCUAGCUAUACUGCUAUCAGAAAUCGUUUCUUUUCUCUUGCUUG
Ruditapes philippinarum (Manila clam) is the source of this 192-nucleotide long non-coding RNA. RefSeq lists it as uncharacterized. The record is from RefSeq and is a predicted model, not a curated record. The transcript is spliced from 3 exons. NCBI's taxonomy places the organism in Eukaryota, Metazoa, Mollusca, Bivalvia, Venerida, Veneridae.